CCUACGGGACGCACCAGUGGGGAAUAUUGGACAAUGGGCGAAAGCCUGAUCCAGCAAUGCCGCGUGUGUGAAGAAGGCCUUCGGGUUGUAAAGCACUUUCAGUAGGGAGGAAGGUAGUGUAGUUAACACCUGCAUUAUUUGACGUUACCUACAGAAGAAGCACCGGCUAACUCCGUGCCAGCAGCCGCGGUAAUACGGAGGGUGCGAGCGUUAAUCGGAAUUACUGGGCGUAAAGCGCAUGCAGGCGGCCUGUUAAGUCAGAUGUGAAAGCCCGGGGCUUAACCUCGGAAUUGCAUUUGAAACUGGCAGGCUAGAGUCUUGUAGAGGGGGGUAGAAUUUCAGGUGUAGCGGUGAAAUGCGUAGAGAUCUGAAGGAAUACCAGUGGCGAAGGCGGCCCCCUGGACAAAGACUGACGCUCAGAUGCGAAAGCGUGGGGAGCAAACAGGAUUAGAUACCCGCGUAGUC
RNAcentral lists this ribosomal RNA (465 nucleotides) under uncultured bacterium. Its description in RNAcentral is "bacterial SSU rRNA". It matches the Rfam family "Bacterial small subunit ribosomal RNA", at positions 338 to 795 of the family's 1533-position model. The record is from RNAcentral.